Molecule: transfer RNA, 76 nt
Filed under: Mycoplasmataceae bacterium
Lineage: Bacteria; Bacillati; Mycoplasmatota; Mollicutes; Mycoplasmatales; Mycoplasmataceae
Description: tRNA-Met
Rfam family: tRNA
About the family: Transfer RNA (tRNA) molecules are approximately 80 nucleotides in length. Their secondary structure includes four short double-helical elements and three loops (D, anti-codon, and T loops). Further hydrogen bonds mediate the characteristic L-shaped molecular structure. tRNAs have two regions of fundamental functional importance: the anti-codon, which is responsible for specific mRNA codon recognition, and the 3' end, to which the tRNAs corresponding amino acid is attached (by aminoacyl-tRNA synthetases). tRNAs cope with the degeneracy of the genetic code in two manners: having more than one tRNA (with a specific anti-codon) for a particular amino acid; and 'wobble' base-pairing, i.e. permitting non-standard base-pairing at the 3rd anti-codon position.
Source: RNAcentral
CGCGGAGUAGAGCAGAGGUUAGCUCGUCAGGCUCAUAACCUGGAGGUCGGUGGUUCGAUUCCAUCCUCCGCAACCA